This 233-nucleotide ribosomal RNA is filed under the name uncultured bacterium. RNAcentral describes it as "partial 16S ribosomal RNA". It matches the Rfam family "Bacterial small subunit ribosomal RNA", at positions 118 to 351 of the family's 1533-position model. The record is from RNAcentral.
UGAGUGACCUGCCGAUUCGCGGGGGAUAGCCGGCCCAACGGCCGGGUAAUACCGCAUACGUUCUUUUUGGGGCAUCCCGAAAAGAAGAAACCUCCGGGGCGAAUCGAGGGACUCGCGGCCUAUCAGCUAGUUGGCGAGGUAACGGCUCACCAAGGCUACGACGGGUAGCUGGUCUGAGAGGAUGGCCAGCCACAUUGGGACUGAGAAACGGCCCAGACUCCUACGGGAGGCAG